RNAcentral lists this small RNA (27 nucleotides) under Bombyx mori (domestic silkworm). RNAcentral describes it as "ovarian small RNA-17347". Lineage: Eukaryota; Metazoa; Arthropoda; Insecta; Lepidoptera; Bombycidae. The record is from RNAcentral.
GGAUGGAGACGAACUGAUUGAGUGAGU